Chiloscyllium plagiosum (whitespotted bambooshark) is the source of this 589-nucleotide non-coding RNA. Lineage: Eukaryota; Metazoa; Chordata; Chondrichthyes; Orectolobiformes; Hemiscylliidae. The record is from the annotation of a RefSeq genome assembly.
UUCCUAACUGAUGCGGCUUAAUGCACUUCGAGCAAGUACCACAAAAUAAUUUAGAUCUAUUGUUUCAAUCCAGUUCAAGUAUUUUUUUCACCACAUGAAAGUAUUCCCUGCUAGACAGUUCCUCAUUUUACAUUAAUAUAUUGUAACAUCUAUUAGACCCGUUCUUUCAGUUGCGAUUUAGUUGUGCACAAUUGUUCCUACGAUGUACAAUGGUCUUCUAAUUUUAUCGUUGAUAUUAGGUGAUGUUCGGUCAGAGUCAGUCACACAACCUCGCAAAAAACUCUCUGUGAUUGAAGGCGAUACUGUAAUUGUAGGUUGCAGCUACACAACAAGGUCUUCGAACCCUGACCUAUACUGGUACAGGCAGUAUUCGAAUCAGGCUCCGGACUUCAUUUUAUAUCGGGAUAACAAUCGAAGAAAAGAUGCAGAUUUUGUCAAUGGAAGAUUUGAGGCCAAACAAAGGAAUGCAGAAAAGAAGUUUCCUUUAAAGAUUACACGAUCAGAAAUCCAGGACACUGCUGUGUAUUUCUGCGGGUUGAGAGACACAGUGGUUGAAAAUUCGUCUGGCGUUGUACAAAAACCUCAGUGA